Molecule: ribosomal RNA, 460 nt
Filed under: uncultured bacterium
Lineage: Bacteria
Description: partial 16S ribosomal RNA
Rfam family: Bacterial small subunit ribosomal RNA
Source: RNAcentral
CCUACGGGAGGCAGCAGUGAGGAAUAUUGGUCAAUGGACGGAAGUCUGAACCAGCCAUGCCGCGUGCAGGAAGACGGCUCUAUGAGUUGUAAACUGCUUUUGUACAAGGGUAAACCUGAAUACGUGUAUUUAGCUGAAAGUACUGUACGAAUAAGGAUCGGCUAACUCCGUGCCAGCAGCCGCGGUAAUACGGAGGAUCCAAGCGUUAUCCGGAUUUAUUGGGUUUAAAGGGUGCGUAGUCGGAUUGAUAAGUUAGAGGUGAAAUGUCCGAGCUUAACUCGGGAACGGCCUCUAAUACUGUUGAACUAGAGAGUAGAUGAGGUAGGCGGAAUGUAUGGUGUAGCGGUGAAAUGCUUAGAGAUCAUACAGAACACCGAUUGCGAAGGCAGCUUACCAAUCUAUAUCUGACGUUGAGGCACGAAAGCGUGGGGAGCAAACAGGAUUAGAUACCCGUGUAGUC